UGUAUAAAAUGUGACAGCAACUUUUAUAUCAAACAUUUUGAAAUCGUCCAAAGCUGAACAAUGCUAGAGGCAUACAUGAAAACACACUAAAAAAUAAAUUAAGUUUGUGAGAGUUGCAUUUUAUUAGCUACAUUCAGAAAUAAUAACGGCAGGCCUAAUAAUGCUAUAGGCUAAUGAACCAACAGGAUAUUUUUGCUAUCAGUGUGAUAACUUUUUCUCAAACUUUUUUUUUUCUCUCAGAUCUUUUAUUUUCUCGCAUGGAAUAAAGACACAAUUCUAACUCCAUAACGCGCUGCCAAGAUGGCGACGGCCUACUCGGCACCAUAGACAGUAAAGCUCGGCACACACCGGUUCAAGCAACUGUCGAAGUUUUUUCCGAGGAUUACCGAGGUCUCAACAAGAACCGAAUGAGCCGUUGAUGUUAGCCGAUAAGUUAAUCGAUUUUAGUGUGCGAUUUCGACAGGGCCUUAAAUAAAUCAAGUCUAUGGUAACUUCAUGAGAACCGGCUCAAAAGAACGAUUCGUCCAAGAGCCGAACAUCACUAGUUCAGACCGGUUCAGACACGUCAACUCGCUUCCGUGUCUUCAAGAUUUCUUUUAUCGUCGACUGUUAAAGUUGGAUGUAUUAAUUCGGUUCGCACGCAUUUUGACUCGUCUUACAUGUGUUAAAUGUUGUGUCGAUAGAACCCUAAAGAAUAAUGUUAGCUGGAUUUAGAAGUGGAAGAACGGAGAGCUUGCAUAAGGACAGUUCCAGAGGCCACCAGACAACUAUGAAUCUACUUCACCCAUCGAAGAGCCUUCUUUAUUUGCUCCUAACCUUUGGACCCUUUCUAGGUGGAAUGUCGAUCCCGGUUGCAGUAAACAUUGGGGAUACUGCGAUUUUCACUUGUAAUGAGACAUGUAAUGGACAUCUCUUGUGGACAUUCCGCACUAACAAUGAAAAUCUAGACGUUGUAAAAUGUGUCCAAGAGACUUGCACCAAAGGAGACAACUUUAAGAACAGAGUGAGCCUUAAGCCUGGAAAAAUGUCUCUAGCCCUGUAUCCUGUUCUGUACAAUGAUGAAGGCUGGUACAUUGUCAAAUGUGAUUCAGCGGUUGCCUGUAGAUUCCACUUAGAAGCUCUUGUACCAACUACUGUGAGCACCUCAGUCAGUAGCAAUGUCACACUACCCUGCUAUGCACGCACAGAGAAACAAAUCACUGAUGACACUGUGAAUAUCCUGUGGAAAAAAGAUGACCGAACGGUGUUACAAGUUCAAAAAGGAAUUACAACAUAUGGCUCAGGAUUUACAGGCAGGGUAUUAGUUUCACUGCACUAUUAUAAGGACGGAGAUCUUUCCCUUAACAUGGUCAGGGUCACCAUGUCAGAUAAGGGAUUGUACCGGUGCUAUCACAGAACUACAGAAGAACAGGGUUAUCCUGGUGCUGUUACUCUCAAUGUUACAGCUGAUCAAAAGUUUUAUGCAAAAAAGUUUGGGGGAAAUCUCACCCUGGACCUGUUUGGCUCUGACCAUGUAAGGGUAACUUUCACCGUUCAUGAUGCAGAUGAGACGCCUGUUUGCAGUGUGACGGGAAACAAACCUACAUGCUCAUCUGAGUACACGCACAGAAUAUCUGUCAUAAAUGACUUCCUUGUGCUGCGCGAGUUAACGUCCACUGAUACAGGCACAUUUACUGUGAAAAAUGAGAUGGAUGAAGUCAUUGGUGUCAACACUGUCACUGUGGAGGGUGUGACCCAGAGACAUCACUACAUAGCUCUGUCUGUGAUAAUUGGUUUCAUUCUCAUUUGCCUGUUCCUUUGCUGUCAGUGUUGUAGACAGUCACAAGCACAGCAGUAUCGCUGCAGUUAUAGUGCAAUACAGUCUAAUGUGAAUAUAAAUCCAGAACCGAUGAGAGAGCCUGCAUGCAUUGAAUUUUCACAAGAAGAAACCAACCCAGAGCCUGAAGUUCAUCUACACACACCUGUCGAGGAGACCAUGCCUGAGCCUGUGAGGACCACUGAGAAGCAAGACAACACUGAAGAGUAUAUUACGUGUGGAAUAGGAAUUAGAGAAACAAUUUAAGAAUACUUUAAGAGAACUGAAAAAAAAAAAAAAAAAAUCCUCCUCAAAUGUUCUUCCGCUGCUGUAUUAUAUGCUAUGAAAAAGAUGGCAUUAGAUUUAAUUGGAUAUUCUUUGAGCAACUGCAUAACUGUGCCAGUGAACAAUAUGUUAAACUUGAAGAGAAAUUGAUUAUAUUUUUUACUUCAGGAAGGCCUGUAGCUGCAGUCUUGUUUUUGGCCAAAAAUAUAAAUUUUCCAUCAUCAAUAGUGUAGCGAUGUAUAAAGCACAGCACAGUCACUUUCAAUUCCAGUUAGCCACAGAGUGUUAAAUUAAUGUGAAGUAUUUUUAUUGUAAAUCAUAUAAUAGCCUUUUUUUCUGACAUGUUUACAUUGCUGUUAGGCAUCUUAAAUCAUUAGGCUUGGGGUGCACAACUAUUAUUCUUGUCGUAAUGAUGAUGUCAGAUGUGGCCACACUGGAAACCCACUUGCUUGACUGUGCUUAUUCUUAAUAAGCAUUAUUCUGCACUUUGAUAUAUUGCACUUUUUCUAUUCUAUUUAUAAGCUUUCGAUACUAACCUUGUGGUAUAACCUUUUUUCUAUUGAAUUUGUUUUAUUAAGUAAAAUGUUUACAAUGUAAAGUAUUACACACACUAAAAUGUUUACAGUGUAUCUGUGUAUUCUAUUAAUUUUUAUGAUCAAAACUCACAUAAUAUGAAUGAAUGAAUGAUUAAUUUAAUAACAAAUUCAAAGCAUGAAAUUUUCCAGAAGAUGAAAAGGUAUAUUACUGUUUUUUUAAAACAAAAUGUCUUUAGUAAUAGCUAAAGUAAUACUAGUUUUAGUAAUUUUACCACUCUACGUGAAAUUUCAGAAUGUAUACAUUAAUACCAUAAUAUUAAUUUAAAGAGUUUUCCUUUUAUAUAUACAUACAGUUGUGCACAUAAGUUUACAUACCCAUUUUAGAAUAUGCAAAAUGUUUAUAAUUUUAACAAAAUAAGAGGGAACAAAAAAAAAUUGCAUGUUAU
This is a long non-coding RNA of Cyprinus carpio (common carp), 3062 nucleotides long. Lineage: Eukaryota; Metazoa; Chordata; Actinopteri; Cypriniformes; Cyprinidae. The record is from Ensembl.